RNAcentral lists this transfer RNA (76 nucleotides) under Thermotoga sp. RNAcentral's name for it is "tRNA-Glu". It matches the Rfam family "tRNA". From Rfam's summary of the family: Transfer RNA (tRNA) molecules are approximately 80 nucleotides in length. Their secondary structure includes four short double-helical elements and three loops (D, anti-codon, and T loops). Further hydrogen bonds mediate the characteristic L-shaped molecular structure. tRNAs have two regions of fundamental functional importance: the anti-codon, which is responsible for specific mRNA codon recognition, and the 3' end, to which the tRNAs corresponding amino acid is attached (by aminoacyl-tRNA synthetases). tRNAs cope with the degeneracy of the genetic code in two manners: having more than one tRNA (with a specific anti-codon) for a particular amino acid; and 'wobble' base-pairing, i.e. permitting non-standard base-pairing at the 3rd anti-codon position. Lineage: Bacteria; Thermotogati; Thermotogota; Thermotogae; Thermotogales; Thermotogaceae. The record is from RNAcentral. RNAcentral also lists the same sequence under 1 other name.
GCCCUCAUCGUCCAGCGGUCCAGGACAUCGGCCUUUCACGCCGGUGACCGGGGUUCGAAUCCCCGUGAGGGCGCCA